UUGAGAAUCUUGCACAAUGGGGGGAACCCUGAUGCAGCGACGCCGCGUGGAGGAUGACGGGUCUAGGCCUGUAAACUCCUUUUACCAGGAAAGACUUAGGACGGUACCUGGUGAAUAAGCACCGGCUAACUACGUGCCAGCAGCCGCGGUAAGACGUAGGGUGCAAGCGUUAUCCGGAUUUACUGGGCGUAAAGCGCGCGUAGGCGGCUCGUUAAGUGUGAAGUGAAAGCCCAGGGCUCAACCCUGGAACUGCUUUACAUACUGGCGAGCUGGAGGGAUGCAGAGGUCUAUGGAAUUCCUGGUGUAACGGUGAAAUGUGUUGAUAUCAGGAGGAACACCCAUGGCGAAGGCAGUAGACUGGGCAUCUCCUGACGCUGAGGCGCGAAAGCGUGGGUAGCAAACAG
RNAcentral lists this ribosomal RNA (404 nucleotides) under uncultured bacterium. RNAcentral's name for it is "bacterial SSU rRNA". It matches the Rfam family "Bacterial small subunit ribosomal RNA", at positions 355 to 775 of the family's 1533-position model. The record is from RNAcentral.